This 112-nucleotide ribosomal RNA is filed under the name Bacteroides caecicola. Its description in RNAcentral is "partial 23S ribosomal RNA". It matches the Rfam family "Bacterial large subunit ribosomal RNA", at positions 2794 to 2925 of the family's 2925-position model. The record is from RNAcentral. Lineage: Bacteria; Pseudomonadati; Bacteroidota; Bacteroidia; Bacteroidales; Bacteroidaceae.
CGGCCGCAAGAUAAGAUUUCAAUGAGGGUCGUCAGAGACUAUGACGUUGAUAGGACGCAGGUGUAUAGGUGGAGACACCACAGCCGAGCGUUACUAAUUGCCCGUAAUUUCC